This 846-nucleotide ribosomal RNA is filed under the name uncultured bacterium. Its description in RNAcentral is "bacterial SSU rRNA". It matches the Rfam family "Bacterial small subunit ribosomal RNA", at positions 58 to 916 of the family's 1533-position model. The record is from RNAcentral.
CAAGUCGAGCGAGAACCGUAGCAAUACGGGGACAGCGGCGAACGGGACAGUAAUGUGUAGGUACCUACCCCUGGGACCGGGAUAGCUGCGGGAAACUGCAGGUAAUACCGGAUAACGUCUCAGGACCAAAGGUGUGAUUCCACCUGGGGAGGGGCCUGCAUCCUAUUAGCUAGUUGGUGGGGUAACGGCUCACCAAGGCAACGAUGGGUAGCGGGUGUGAGAGCACGACCCGCGUCAUUGGGACUGAGAUACUGCCCAGACACCUACGGGUGGCUGCAGUCGAGGAUCUUCGGCAAUGGGGGAAACCCUGACCGAGCGACGCCGCGUGUGGGAUGAAGGCCCUCGGGUUGUAAACCACUGUCAACGGGGAGGAAAUGCAGGAGGGUUCUCCCUCCUGUUUGACCUAUCUGUGGAGGAAGUACGGGCUAAGUUCGUGCCAGCAGCCGCGGUAAGACGAACCGUACAAACGUUACUCGGAAUUACUGGGCUUAAAGGGUGCGUAGGCUGCGCGGAAAGUUGGGUGUGAAAGCCCUCAGCUCAACUGAGGAAUUGCACUCAAAACUACCGUGCUCGAGGGAGACAGAGGUAAGCGGAACUCAAGGUGGAGCGGUGAAAUGCGUUGAUAUCUUGAGGAACACCGGUGGCGAAGGCGGCUUACUGGGCCUCUUCUGACGCUGAGGCACGAAAGCUAAGGUAGCAAACGGGAUUAGAUACCCCGGUAGUCUUAGCUGUAAACGAUGAGCACUUGUUUGAAGGGUCCUCCAUAGCCUUUCAGACGUAGCGAAAGUGUUAAGUGCUCCGCCUGGGGAGUAUGGUCGCAAGGCUGAAACUCAAAGAAAUUGACGG